RNAcentral lists this ribosomal RNA (229 nucleotides) under uncultured bacterium. RNAcentral describes it as "partial 16S ribosomal RNA". It matches the Rfam family "Bacterial small subunit ribosomal RNA", at positions 104 to 334 of the family's 1533-position model. The record is from RNAcentral.
CGGGGUGAGUAAUGCUUGGGAAUCUGGCUUAUGGAGGGGGAUAACUACGGGAAACUGUAGCUAAUACCGCGUAGUGUCGGGAGACGAAAGUGCGGGACCGCAAGGCCGCAUGCCAUGAGAUGAGCCCAAGUGGGAUUAGGUAGUUGGUGGGGUAAAGGCCUACCAAGCCUGCGAUCUCUAGCUGGUCUGAGAGGAUGACCAGCCACACUGGAACUGAGACACGGUCCAG